AGCAGCACAAGGAUGGAGGACAAUGGCUGCGCUCAGCUGAGCUCCUCCUCCUCAUCAAUGAUCAGUUUGUAUUUGUCCAUACCUCUCAUGGCCUUCUUCCCUGGCUUCCAGUUCCAGAUGGCUUGGUGAGGCUUGGACAGAAACCGGCAAGUCAGAAAUCGGCAAUGGUGAGCUCCUACAGGAGCCUACCAGUUUAAGUUUUCCCUCUUCCUGUUGUUCCUCGUUUUCCUUCAUUCCUUCUUUUUUUUCCUUUUACCUUAGAGUUGUAUCUAGUGAGAGCAGAAGAUUUCAGUAGAAGUCUUGCUUUCUGGAGACAAUGUUUUUUCUGUUUGUUUUGGAAUAUCCUGCUUUGAACUGCUCGUGGUUACCCUUGUAAAGAUGGCGUGUAACCUAUUCUGUUGUUGGUUCUGCAACCUUGUUUGAUCUCCUUUUGAAGGAUACGGUUGUCGUAUUUUUGGCAACCCUUGCUGUGAACUGAAGCCAACUCCGCUAGCGAAAAAACAGUGAAUGGUGGUGCCCCAGUCUCACAGACAUUUGUAAGCUGACCCUGCGUACACUACUGCUAAGCGAAAGAUGUUUUUUCCCUGCAACUUGCAAGAAUAUAUACUGUUUGAUGGUAGUACUACCACAUGUAAUUUCAGGCGACUGAUAUCCAGAAAAUUUCCCUGUUUCCUGAGGCACCUAUCGGCGAUUCAGGGAAAAUAUCUUGCACAUUUCCCUGGAACAUUGAUGUUUUCAGAAAA
Setaria italica (foxtail millet) is the source of this 743-nucleotide long non-coding RNA. RefSeq lists it as uncharacterized. The transcript has 2 exons. Lineage: Eukaryota; Viridiplantae; Streptophyta; Magnoliopsida; Poales; Poaceae. The record is from RefSeq and is a predicted model, not a curated record.